UACGAAGGGGGCUAGCGUUGUUCGGAAUUACUGGGCGUAAAGCGCACGUAGGCGGAUAUUUAAGUCAGGGGUGAAAUCCCGGGGCUCAACCCCGGAACUGCCUUUGAUACUGGGUAUCUCGAGUCCGAGAGAGGUGAGCGGAAUUCCGAGUGUAGAGGUGAAAUUCGUAGAUAUUCGGAGGAACACCAGUGGCGAAGGCGGCUCACUGGCUCGGUACUGACGCUGAGGUGCGAAAGCGUGGGGAGCAAACAGG
RNAcentral lists this ribosomal RNA (253 nucleotides) under uncultured bacterium. RNAcentral describes it as "partial 16S ribosomal RNA". It matches the Rfam family "Bacterial small subunit ribosomal RNA", at positions 524 to 776 of the family's 1533-position model. The record is from RNAcentral.